AGUGAACGCUGGCGGUAGGCCUAACACAUGCAAGUCGAACGGCAGCACAGUAAGAGCUUGCUCUUACGGGUGGCGAGUGGCGGACGGGUGAGGAAUACAUCGGAAUCUACUUUUUCGUGGGGGAUAACGUAGGGAAACUUACGCUAAUACCGCAUACGACCUACGGGUGAAAGCAGGGGAUCUUCGGACCUUGCGCGAUUGAAUGAGCCGAUGUCGGAUUAGCUAGUUGGCAGGGUAAAGGCCCACCAAGGCGACGAUCCGUAGCUGGUCUGAGAGGAUGAUCAGCCACACUGGAACUGAGACACGGUCCAGACUCCUACGGGAGGCAGCAGUGGGGAAUAUUGGACAAUGGGCGCAAGCCUGAUCCAGCCACACCGCGUGGGUGAAGAAGGCCUUCGGGUUGUAAAGCCCUUUUGUUGGGAAAGAAAAGCAGCAGGUUAAUACCCCGCUGUUCUGACGGUACCCAAAGAAUAAGCACCGGCUAACUUCGUG
RNAcentral lists this ribosomal RNA (492 nucleotides) under uncultured bacterium. RNAcentral's name for it is "partial 16S ribosomal RNA". It matches the Rfam family "Bacterial small subunit ribosomal RNA", at positions 29 to 507 of the family's 1533-position model. The record is from RNAcentral.